Molecule: ribosomal RNA, 1343 nt
Filed under: uncultured bacterium
Lineage: Bacteria
Description: 16S ribosomal RNA
Rfam family: Bacterial small subunit ribosomal RNA
Source: RNAcentral
GACGAACGCUGGCGGCGUGCUUAACACAUGCAAGUCGAACGGAAAGGCCCUGCUUUUGUGGGGUGCUCGAGUGGCGAACGGGUGAGUAACACGUGAGUAACCUGCCCUUGACUUUGGGAUAACUUCAGGAAACUGGGGCUAAUACCGGAUAGGAGCUCCUGCUGCAUGGUGGGGGUUGGAAAGUUUCGGCGGUUGGGGAUGGACUCGCGGCUUAUCAGCUUGUUGGUGGGGUAGUGGCUUACCAAGGCUUUGACGGGUAGCCGGCCUGAGAGGGUGACCGGCCACAUUGGGACUGAGAUACGGCCCAGACUCCUACGGGAGGCAGCAGUGGGGAAUAUUGCACAAUGGGCGGAAGCCUGAUGCAGCAACGCCGCGUGCGGGAUGACGGCCUUCGGGUUGUAAACCGCUUUCGCCUGUGACGAAGCGUGAGUGACGGUAAUGGGUAAAGAAGCACCGGCUAACUACGUGCCAGCAGCCGCGGUGAUACGUAGGGUGCGAGCGUUGUCCGGAUUUAUUGGGCGUAAAGGGCUCGUAGGUGGUUGAUCGCGUCGGAAGUGUAAUCUUGGGGCUUAACCCUGAGCGUGCUUUCGAUACGGGUUGACUUGAGGAAGGUAGGGGAGAAUGGAAUUCCUGGUGGAGCGGUGGAAUGCGCAGAUAUCAGGAGGAACACCAGUGGCGAAGGCGGUUCUCUGGGCCUUUCCUGACGCUGAGGAGCGAGAGCGUGGGGAGCGAACAGGCUUAGAUACCCUGGUAGUCCACGCUGUAAACGGUGGGUACUAGGUGUGGGGUCCAUUCCACGGGUUCCGUGCCGUAGCUAACGCUUUAAGUACCCCGCCUGGGGAGUACGGCCGCAAGGCUAAAACUCAAAGGAAUUGACGGGGCCCCGCACAAGCGGCGGAGCAUGCGGAUUAAUUCGAUGCAACGCGUAGAACCUUACCUGGGUUUGACAUGGAUCGGGAGCGCUCAGAGAUGGGUGUGCCUCUUUUGGGGUCGGUUCACAGGUGGUGCAUGGCUGUCGUCAGCUCGUGUCGUGAGAUGUUGGGUUAAGUCCCGCAACGAGCGCAACCCUUGUUCACUGUUGCCAGCACGUUAUGGUGGGGACUCAGUGGAGACCGCCGGGGUCAACUCGGAGGAAGGUGGGGAUGACGUCAAGUCAUCAUGCCCCUUAUGUCCAGGGCUUCACGCAUGCUACAAUGGCUGGUACAGAGAGUGGCGAGCCUGUGAGGGUGAGCGAAUCUCGGAAAGCCGGUCUCAGUUCGGAUUGGGGUCUGCAACUCGACCUCAUGAAGUCGGAGUCGCUAGUAAUCGCAGAUCAGCAACGCUGCGGUGAAUACGUUCCCGGG